Molecule: non-coding RNA, 31 nt
Filed under: Mus musculus (house mouse)
Lineage: Eukaryota; Metazoa; Chordata; Mammalia; Rodentia; Muridae
Source: RNAcentral
UUCUUGAUAAGAAAAAAUGCUGCCUAGAUAU